RNAcentral lists this ribosomal RNA (387 nucleotides) under uncultured euryarchaeote. Its description in RNAcentral is "bacterial SSU rRNA". It matches the Rfam family "Archaeal small subunit ribosomal RNA", at positions 339 to 727 of the family's 1478-position model. The record is from RNAcentral. Lineage: Archaea; Methanobacteriati; Methanobacteriota.
GCGCGAAAACUCUACAAUGCACGAAAGUGUGAUAGGGGAAUCCCAAGUGCCCAUGUAUUGCAUGGGCUUUUGCCACGAGUAAAUAUCUUGGCGAAUAAGUGGUGGGAAAGACUGGUGCCAGCAGCCGCGGUAACACCAGCGCCACGAGUGGGAGCCACAUUUAUUGGGCCUAAAGCGUCCGUAGCCGGAUUGAUGAAUCUCUUGUGAAAUCAUGGGGCUUAACUCCAUGGCGUGCAGGGGACACUAUCAACCUUGGAACCGGGAGGAGUCAGGGGUAUUCCGUGGGGAGCGGUAAAAUGUUAUAAUCCUCGGAGGACCACCUGUGGCGAAGGCGUCUGACUAGAACGGAUUCGACGGUGAGGGACGAAAGCUGGGGGAGCAAACCGG